GACACUUUGGCCGAGUGGUUAAGGCGAUGCCCUGCUAUUAUGUCAGGCAUUGGAGUUUCUCCGCGUGUGUUCGAAUCGCACAGGUGUCG
Non-coding RNA from Mycena alexandri, 89 nucleotides. Lineage: Eukaryota; Fungi; Basidiomycota; Agaricomycetes; Agaricales; Mycenaceae. The record is from the annotation of a GenBank genome assembly.